RNAcentral lists this long non-coding RNA (313 nucleotides) under Pan troglodytes (chimpanzee). Its description in RNAcentral is "long non-coding RNA NONPTRT016273". Lineage: Eukaryota; Metazoa; Chordata; Mammalia; Primates; Hominidae. The record is from RNAcentral.
CUAGUGCCCUUGGUGGAAGCCACUUGCGGUAUAUCUGGUCUAGCCACAGCCUAUAGAGAGAGAGAGAGAGAGAGUCUCAAAUCUUUUUAUAUUCUGUGAGGUCACAGAUCUCUUUGCAGAGAUGACUGUUCCUCUGCCAGGAACUUCAGAAUGCUCUAAACUAUUCACCUAAUUUAAAUUGGUCUUUGACCUAAUAACUAAUCAAAAAGCAUAUACAUGUACACCCUUACAGAUGUUAGAAAAAUCAAUUAACCUUUUGAGGCUAGUAUUAACUUCAUGUAGUACAAGAUAUUAAAAGAAUAGAAAAUCUCCA